This 439-nucleotide ribosomal RNA is filed under the name uncultured bacterium. RNAcentral describes it as "partial 16S ribosomal RNA". It matches the Rfam family "Bacterial small subunit ribosomal RNA", at positions 338 to 795 of the family's 1533-position model. The record is from RNAcentral.
CCUACGGGUGGCAGCAGUGGGGAAUCUUGCACAAUGGGCGAAAGCCUGAUGCAGCAACGCCGCGUGAGCGAUGAAGGCCUUCGGGUCGUAAAGCUCUGUCCUCAAGGAAGAUAAUGACGGUACUUGAGGAGGAAGCCCCGGCUAACUACGUGCCAGCAGCCGCGGUAAUACGUAGGGGGCUAGCGUUAUCCGGAAUUACUGGGCGUAAUGGGUGCGUAGGUGGUUUCUUAAGUCAGAGGUAAAAUCGCGGGGCUCAACCCCGCUCCGCCGUUGAAACUGGGUCCCUUGAGUGCGCGAAGGGUAGGCGGAAUGCGUGGUGUAGCGGUGAAAUGCAUAGAUAUCGCGCAGAACUCCGAUCGCGAAGGCAGCCUACCGGCGCGCAACUGACGCGCAGGCACGAAAGCGUGGGUAUCGAACAGGAUUAGAUACCCGAGUAGUC